GACGAACGCUGGCGGCGUGCCUAACACAUGCAAGUCGAACGGAAAGGCCCUGCUUUUGUGGGGUGCUCGAGUGGCGAACGGGUGAGUAACACGCGAGUAACCUGCCCUUGACUUUGGGAUAACUUCAGGAAACUGGGGCUAAUACCGGAUAGGAGCUCCUGCUGCAUGGUGGGGGUUGGAAAGUUUCGGCGGUUGGGGAUGGUCUCGCUGCUUAUCGGCUUGAUGGUGGGGUAGUGGCUUACCAAGGCUUUGACGGGUAGCCGGCCUGAGAGGUGGACCAGCGACAUGAGGACUAAGGGACGGCCCAGACUCCAACGGGAGGCAGCGGGGGAGAGUAUUACGGAAUGAGGGGAAGCCAGAUACAACAGCGCCGCGUGCGGGAUGACGGGCUUCGAGUUAUAAACCGCUUUCGCCUGUGACGAGGCGUGAGUGACGGUAAUGGGUAAAGAAGCACCGGCUAACUACGUG
RNAcentral lists this ribosomal RNA (468 nucleotides) under uncultured bacterium. RNAcentral describes it as "partial 16S ribosomal RNA". It matches the Rfam family "Bacterial small subunit ribosomal RNA", at positions 28 to 507 of the family's 1533-position model. The record is from RNAcentral.